Long non-coding RNA from Myzus persicae (green peach aphid), 2005 nucleotides. RefSeq lists it as uncharacterized. The record is from RefSeq and is a predicted model, not a curated record. The transcript is spliced from 3 exons. Lineage: Eukaryota; Metazoa; Arthropoda; Insecta; Hemiptera; Aphididae.
AAAUAUCGAAUACCAUGUUACGUAGGUAUUGUUCUAAUAAGUAGAAAUAUACUCAACUUAUAUAAAUGGUUAUGAGAUCAUUUAAAGCACUUCAUAAAUACAAGAUUAAGAAAAGCUGAGAAGAUCUCAAGGUUAGAUAAAAUAAAAACGGUUUUCAAGUGAUAAUAAAAUCGGUGCCUAUAGUAAACAACAAAUUAAUCAAGAAACAACUGUUUUUAAUUAUUGAAAUACGUAUAGGUAUAGGUCUGCAGCCGCCUAUUUGAAUCUUGGUUUCACGUCUCGUUUUCGGGGCUCGCAUAUUAUAAUGUUGUGCCCAGACGAUCAUUUGAAACGAGCGCAUAUGGAGUUUCGUAAUAUUUACCGUAGUUGUGGUCUUGUGGAUUGUGUCGUGUGCGAUUACGAAACAUGAUUUAAAGAAUUAUCCUGUCGGACGUCGGCAUAUCUGGGGGUGGGGGAACGAUACGUUUGCCUCCCCCGCUAAAAUUUCAGAGUGGGUAAGUGCCACCCUUGUACCCCUCCACCCACAAUUACGCCGCUAAUAUUAUUUCAAUAUUUAAAUUGCGAUUUGUAUAGAGAACUGAUAUACAGUCACCGUGAUCACUCAGUGAUUGCAGUAGAUUGAUAAACAUUAUUAAUUUCAUAAAAAGGUAAUUUUUACUCGUACAACUGCUGCAAGUUGAAAUUUCAACAUAGGAUUAUAAGAUCACGAAAUGUUGGCAUUUAUGUUUUAAAAACAUGUAUAUUACGUAUUUUUUUUUUUUACAUAAAAUUACAUCUUCGUUACCUAUGGUUAGAUUAAAUAAAACAACACUUUUUUUUUGAGAAUCUGAAUAUUUUUCGUAUAACCUUUUCCAACAGAUCCUCUCCAAUUGCAAUGCAAUUCAAUGUAUUUAUAAUCUUAUAUUCUUGUAUAUGACAUUUAUAUUAUAGGCAGGUACCUAUGUAACAUGCAGUAAAUCUCGAAUGUGUAAUGUGUUAGACAAAUAUUGAAAUAUUAUAUGUUCAUCUUUUAAACCAAACAUUAUAUUAUAAAUAAAAAAUUUGUGUUCUAACGUUUGUUCUAUAUUCGUUCGUUAGUGCAAAUACUAUAAUAUCAUUAUCGUCAACAUUUCAAUGAUGUAUGUUUUCCUUACUAAUCCCUGGUCCCCUCCUCCCCCCUCCCAGACGACACACGUAGGUAAAACAGAACUCGGUUAAAAAAAAAAAAAUCAGAACAUGUCAUUUAUUGAAUUGAAGAUUUAUAGGAAUAUUAGAAUAAUUUGAUAGUAGUUGCGUAAUUUAUUCUUAUUAUUUUUUAUUUAUUUAGAUAAGCCUCAUCGGCAUCUGGGCCAUCGGUUGACAAUUUUUUACUUCAAUAUAGUAUACAACAAUAUGGCAUACUUGUUUGCUGUCAUUACAAUAAAUUAUCUAUAUUCAUUUUUCUCGUCUUGGCCUAGCAGUGAUUGAAUAUAAGCAUGCGUCCGGAGAUGUUACUCAUUUUUUAAAUUUGUUAUGUUAUAUAUAAAAAAUAUAAUAAUAUCAUAUGAGAUAUGACAUUGUUUAUAAUAAUAUUAAUAAAUUAAUCAUUUAUAUUUUUUGCGCGUUAAAUGCACUGUAAACGAUAAACAGAUAAAUUCCUACACGUCUGAACGCUACUUUUGAAAUAAUAUAACGUUAUCAUCAAGAGCGUAUAUAAAUAAUAAUAUUAUGUAUCGUAAAUUCGUACGAAUACUCGUUUAUCGUACACCGACACAAUAUUAUUAUAUUAUAUCUAAGCACAAGAAAUAAAGAUGUUCGAACAUCAACGAUUUCAUGAGUAUAUUAUGCUGUAUUACUGUUUACAUAUUAUUAUAGCUAUGUUGGGUACCUACAAUAUAUAGCAACAGGUGAGGACUCGAGGCGCACUGCAAAUCUUCAUACAACAAUACAUAUAACAGUUAGCCCUGUUAGUCAAUUAAAGGUUGUUGAUUUUUAUUUUGAUUGGUAAAGACAAUAUUAUUAUUAUCUUGUAUCUAUAUAAUAAUUA